GAGACUCUGUGCGCGUGCAUAUCAAUAAGCGGAGGAAAAGGAACUAACAAGGAUUCCCCUAGUAACGGCGAGUGAAGCGGGAAGAGCUCAAAUUUGAAAUCUUAAAGGGUUUCCCUUUACGAAUUGUAGUUUAAAGAAGUGUUUUCUGUUGGAGUUUCGGUAAAAGUUCUUUGGAAUAGGACAUCAUAGAGGGUGAGAAUCCCGUAUUUGAUCGUUACUUUCCAGCUGUGUGAUACACUUUCAAAGAGUCGGAUUGUUUGGGAAUGCAGUCCAAAAUGGGUGGUAAAUUUCAUCUAAAGCUAAAUAUUGGCGAGAGACCGAUAGCGAACAAGUACCGUGAGGGAAAGAUGAAAAGAACUUUGAAAAGAGAGUUAAACAGUACGUGAAAUUGUCAAAAGGGAAGCGUUUGACACCAGUGUUGUUUAGUUGAAAAUCAAUUACGAAUGUUUUAUUUUUGAGGAGUUAUGACUUCAUCGGCUUGCUCCUUUCUUUAUGAAACUUUCUUAAUGCACUUUUCGGUUAACAAGUCAACAUCAAUUUCUUUUGUUGUAAAAGGGUAUGAGGAAGGUGGCUUUCUUUUCGGAGAAAGUGUUUAUAGCCUUGUGCCUCUGCAAUCGGAGAGAUUGAGGUCUGCAGCGUAGAUCCUUCGGGGUUAGAUACAGUUUGUGCUAAGUUAUAGCUUUUCAUAGACAACUUGUUGACUAUGUUUAGUCUUGUAGCUCACUCGCUUACGCUAUUUUACCUACGCUUAGGAUGUUGACAGCAGUAUAGACUG
RNAcentral lists this ribosomal RNA (775 nucleotides) under uncultured Neocallimastigales. RNAcentral describes it as "partial large subunit ribosomal RNA". It matches the Rfam family "Eukaryotic large subunit ribosomal RNA", at positions 23 to 636 of the family's 3401-position model. The record is from RNAcentral. Lineage: Eukaryota; Fungi; Neocallimastigomycota; Neocallimastigomycetes; Neocallimastigales.